Molecule: ribosomal RNA, 325 nt
Filed under: uncultured eukaryote
Lineage: Eukaryota
Description: partial 18S ribosomal RNA
Rfam family: Eukaryotic small subunit ribosomal RNA
Source: RNAcentral
CCCUUUGAUGUUCUGGGCCGCACGCGCGCUACACUGAUGCAUUCAACGAGCCUAUCCUUGACCGACAGGUCCGGGUAAUCUUUGAAUCUGCAUCGUGACGGGGAUAGAUUAUUGCAAUUAUUAAUCUUCAACGAGGAAUGCCUAGUAGGCGCAAGUCAUCAGCUUGCGUCGAUUACGUCCCUGCCCUUUGUACACACCGCCCGUCGCUCCUACCGAUUGGGUGUGCUGGUGAAAUGUUCGGAUCGGCCGUUUGUCGCGGUUUCCGCGGCUCGUGGCUGAGAAGUUCAUUAAACCCUCCCACCUAGAGGAAGGAGAAGUCGUAACA